CCGGACGGGUGAGUAAUGUCUGGGAAACUGCCUGAUGGAGGGGGAUAACUACUGGAAACGGUAGCUAAUACCGCAUAACGUCGCAAGACCAAAGAGGGGGACCUUCGGGCCUCUUGCCAUCAGAUGUGCCCAGAUGGGAUUAGCUAGUAGGUGGGGUAAUGGCUCACCUAGGCGACGAUCCCUAGCUGGUCUGAGAGGAUGACCAGCCACACUGGAACUGAGACACGGUCCAGACUCCUACGGGAGGCAGCAGUGGGGAAUAUUGCACAAUGGGCGCAAGCCUGAUGCAGCCAUGCCGCGUGUGUGAAGAAGGCCUUCGGGUUGUAAAGCACUUUCAGCGAGGAGGAAGGUGGUGAGCUUAAUACGUUCAUCAAUUGACGUUACUCGCAGAAGAAGCACCGGCUAACUCCGUGCCAGCAGCCGCGGUAAUACGGAGGGUGCAAGCGUUAAUCGGAAUUACUGGGCGUAAAGCGCACGCAGGCGGUUUGUUAAGUCAGAUGUGAAAUCCCCGGGCUCAAACCUGGGAACUGCAUUUGAAACUGGCAAGCUAGAGUCUCGUAGAGGGGGGUAGAAUUCCAGGUGUAGCGGUGAAAUGCGUAGAGAUCUGGAGGAAUACC
RNAcentral lists this ribosomal RNA (617 nucleotides) under Serratia sp. INBio2890A. RNAcentral's name for it is "bacterial SSU rRNA". It matches the Rfam family "Bacterial small subunit ribosomal RNA", at positions 98 to 710 of the family's 1533-position model. The record is from RNAcentral. Lineage: Bacteria; Pseudomonadati; Pseudomonadota; Gammaproteobacteria; Enterobacterales; Yersiniaceae.